This 887-nucleotide ribosomal RNA is filed under the name Salmonella enterica. RNAcentral describes it as "partial 23S ribosomal RNA". It matches the Rfam family "Bacterial large subunit ribosomal RNA", at positions 2044 to 2925 of the family's 2925-position model. Lineage: Bacteria; Pseudomonadati; Pseudomonadota; Gammaproteobacteria; Enterobacterales; Enterobacteriaceae. The record is from RNAcentral.
GAACUCGCUGUGAAGAUGCAGUGUACCCGCGGCAAGACGGAAAGACCCCGUGAACCUUUACUAUAGCUUGACACUGAACAUUGAGCCUUGAUGUGUAGGAUAGGUGGGAGGCUUUGAAGUGUGGACGCCAGUCUGCAUGGAGCCGACCUUGAAAUACCACCCUUUAAUGUUUGAUGUUCUAACGUGGACCCGUAAUCCGGGUUGCGGACAGUGUCUGGUGGGUAGUUUGACUGGGGCGGUCUCCUCCUAAAGAGUAACGGAGGAGCACGAAGGUUGGCUAAUCCUGGUCGGACAUCAGGAGGUUAGUGCAAUGGCAUAAGCCAGCUUGACUGCGAGCGUGACGGCGCGAGCAGGUGCGAAAGCAGGUCAUAGUGAUCCGGUGGUUCUGAAUGGAAGGGCCAUCGCUCAACGGAUAAAAGGUACUCCGGGGAUAACAGGCUGAUACCGCCCAAGAGUUCAUAUCGACGGCGGUGUUUGGCACCUCGAUGUCGGCUCAUCACAUCCUGGGGCUGAAGUAGGUCCCAAGGGUAUGGCUGUUCGCCAUUUAAAGUGGUACGCGAGCUGGGUUUAGAACGUCGUGAGACAGUUCGGUCCCUAUCUGCCGUGGGCGCUGGAGAACUGAGGGGGGCUGCUCCUAGUACGAGAGGACCGGAGUGGACGCAUCACUGGUGUUCGGGUUGUCAUGCCAAUGGCACUGCCCGGUAGCUAAAUGCGGAAGAGAUAAGUGCUGAAAGCAUCUAAGCACGAAACUUGCCCCGAGAUGAGUUCUCCCUGAGACUUAGAGUCUCCUGAAGGAACGUUGAAGACGACGACGUUGAUAGGCCGGGUGUGUAAGCGCAGCGAUGCGUUGAGCUAACCGGUACUAAUGAACCGUGAGGCUUAACCUU